This 253-nucleotide ribosomal RNA is filed under the name uncultured bacterium. RNAcentral describes it as "partial 16S ribosomal RNA". It matches the Rfam family "Bacterial small subunit ribosomal RNA", at positions 524 to 776 of the family's 1533-position model. The record is from RNAcentral.
UACGUAGGGACCGAGCGUUGUCCGGAAUCAUUGGGCGUAAAGAGCGUGUAGGCGGCCAAUUAAGUCCUGCGUGAAAUCUCGGGGCUCAACCCCGAGCGGUCGUGGGAAACUGGUUGGCUAGAGUGCGGGAGAGGAGAGUGGAAUUCCUGGUGUAGCGGUGAAAUGCGCAGAUAUCAGGAAGAACACCCGUGGCGAAGGCGGCUCUCUGGAACGCAACUGACGCUGAGACGCAAAAGCGUGGGGAGCAAACAGG